This 274-nucleotide ribosomal RNA is filed under the name uncultured bacterium. Its description in RNAcentral is "partial 16S ribosomal RNA". It matches the Rfam family "Bacterial small subunit ribosomal RNA", at positions 523 to 796 of the family's 1533-position model. The record is from RNAcentral.
AUACGGAGGGUGCAAGCGUUAAUCGGAAUUACUGGGCGUAAAGAGCGCGUAGGCGGUUUGGUCAGUCGGAUGUGAAAGCCCCGGGCUUAACCUGGGAACUGCAUUCGAUACUGCCCGACUAGAGUAUGGUAGAGGGUAGUGGAAUUCCCGGUGUAGCGGUGAAAUGCGUAGAUAUCGGGAAGAACACCAGUGGCGAAGGCGGCUACCUGGACCAAUACUGACGCUGAGGCGCGAAAGCGUGGGGAGCAAACAGGAUUAGAAACCCCAGUAGUCC